This 482-nucleotide ribosomal RNA is filed under the name uncultured bacterium. Its description in RNAcentral is "bacterial SSU rRNA". It matches the Rfam family "Bacterial small subunit ribosomal RNA", at positions 28 to 507 of the family's 1533-position model. The record is from RNAcentral. RNAcentral also lists the same sequence under 1 other name.
GACGAACGCUGGCGGCGUGCUUAACACAUGCAAGUCGAACGGAGCCCUGCGGAACGGAGAUUCGUUGAAGGGAAGCAGGCGCUUAGUGGCGGACGGGUGAGUAACGCGUGAGGAACCUGCCUUUCAGAGGGGGACAACAGAGGGAAACUUCUGCUAAUACCGCAUAACGUGCGGAGGCCGCAUGGUCUCUGCACCAAAGAUUUAUCGCUGAAAGAUGGCCUCGCGUCUGAUUAGCUGGUUGGUGAGGUAACGGCCCACCAAGGCGACGAUCAGUAGCCGGACUGAGAGGUUGACCGGCCACAUUGGGACUGAGAUACGGCCCAGACUCCUACGGGAGGCAGCAGUGGGGAAUAUUGGGCAAUGGGCGCAAGCCUGACCCAGCAACGCCGCGUGAAGGAAGAAGGCUUUCGGGUUGUAAACUUCUUUGACAGGGGACGAAAGAAAUGACGGUACCCUGAAAACAAGCCACGGCUAACUACGUG